ACUUUGGUGAUUCAGUGGUAGAAUCCUUGCCUUCCAUGCAGGAGACCCAGGUUUGAUUCCUGGCCAGUGCA
Molecule: transfer RNA, 71 nt
Filed under: Procavia capensis (Cape rock hyrax)
Lineage: Eukaryota; Metazoa; Chordata; Mammalia; Hyracoidea; Procaviidae
Description: tRNA-Gly (TCC) (tRNA-Gly-TCC-10-1, tRNA-Gly-TCC-10-2)
Rfam family: tRNA
About the family: Transfer RNA (tRNA) molecules are approximately 80 nucleotides in length. Their secondary structure includes four short double-helical elements and three loops (D, anti-codon, and T loops). Further hydrogen bonds mediate the characteristic L-shaped molecular structure. tRNAs have two regions of fundamental functional importance: the anti-codon, which is responsible for specific mRNA codon recognition, and the 3' end, to which the tRNAs corresponding amino acid is attached (by aminoacyl-tRNA synthetases). tRNAs cope with the degeneracy of the genetic code in two manners: having more than one tRNA (with a specific anti-codon) for a particular amino acid; and 'wobble' base-pairing, i.e. permitting non-standard base-pairing at the 3rd anti-codon position.
Source: RNAcentral